AUUGAACGCUGGCGGCAUGCUUUACACAUGCAAGUCGAACGGUAACAGGCCUUCGGGUGCUGACGAGUGGCGAACGGGUGAGUAAUGCAUCGGAACGUACCCAGAGGUGGGGGAUAACGCAGCGAAAGCUGUGCUAAUACCGCAUGUGAUCUGAGGUUGAAAGCGGGGGACCGAGCAGCAAUGUUUGGCCUCGCGCCUUUGGAGCGGCCGAUGUCGGAUUAGCUAGUUGGUGGGGUAAAGGCCUACCAAGGCGACGAUCCGUAGCUGGUCUGAGAGGACGACCAGCCACACUGGGACUGAGACACGGCCCAGACUCCUACGGGAGGCAGCAGUGGGGAAUUUUGGACAAUGGGCGCAAGCCUGAUCCAGCAAUGCCGCGUGCGGGAAGAAGGCCUUCGGGUUGUAAACCGCUUUUGGCAGGAACGAAACGGUGUCCGCUAAUACCGGGCGCUAAUGACGGUACCUGCAGAAUAAGCACCGGCUAACUACGUG
RNAcentral lists this ribosomal RNA (492 nucleotides) under uncultured bacterium. RNAcentral describes it as "partial 16S ribosomal RNA". It matches the Rfam family "Bacterial small subunit ribosomal RNA", at positions 30 to 507 of the family's 1533-position model. The record is from RNAcentral.